Molecule: transfer RNA, 74 nt
Filed under: Candidatus Taylorbacteria bacterium RIFCSPHIGHO2_01_FULL_49_60
Lineage: Bacteria; Candidatus Tayloriibacteriota
Also listed under: 6 other names
Description: tRNA-Asp
Rfam family: tRNA
About the family: Transfer RNA (tRNA) molecules are approximately 80 nucleotides in length. Their secondary structure includes four short double-helical elements and three loops (D, anti-codon, and T loops).
Source: RNAcentral
GCGGCUGUAGCUUAGUUGGUUAAAGCGCCGUCCUGUCACGACGGAGACCGCCGGUUCAAAUCCGGUCAGCCGCG